This 80-nucleotide small RNA is filed under the name Flavobacterium flevense. RNAcentral's name for it is "Flavo-1 RNA". It matches the Rfam family "Flavo-1 RNA". The record is from RNAcentral. Lineage: Bacteria; Pseudomonadati; Bacteroidota; Flavobacteriia; Flavobacteriales; Flavobacteriaceae.
AGUGAAUUUCAUUUGAAGUGAAAAUCCUUUUCUUUUUUUCUUUAAAAAAGAAAAGAUUGUAACGGAAAGCGGGAGCAUUC